Molecule: ribosomal RNA, 440 nt
Filed under: uncultured bacterium
Lineage: Bacteria
Description: bacterial SSU rRNA
Rfam family: Bacterial small subunit ribosomal RNA
Source: RNAcentral
GCAUAACGCGAAGAACCUUACCAAGGCUUGACAUCCCCUUGACCAGUGCAGAGAUGUACUCUCUCCUUCGGGAGCAAGGGUGACAGGUGGUGCAUGGUUGUCGUCAGCUCGUGUCGUGAGAUGUUGGGUUAAGUCCCGCAACGAGCGCAACCCUUAUCCUUAGUUGCCAGCAAGUUAAGUUGGGCACUCUAGGGAGACUGCCGAUGAUAAAUCGGAGGAAGGUGGGGAUGACGUCAAAUCAUCAUGCCCCUUAUGUCUUGGGCUACACACGUGCUACAAUGGUCGGUACAACGGGCAGCGAAGGAGCGAUCUGGAGCAAAUCCCAAUAAACCGAUCUCAGUUCGGAUUGUAGGCUGCAACUCGCCUACAUGAAGUCGGAGUUGCUAGUAAUCGCGAAUCAGAACGUCGCGGUGAAUGCGUUCCCGGGUCUUGUACACACC